RNAcentral lists this ribosomal RNA (253 nucleotides) under uncultured bacterium. RNAcentral describes it as "partial 16S ribosomal RNA". It matches the Rfam family "Bacterial small subunit ribosomal RNA", at positions 524 to 776 of the family's 1533-position model. The record is from RNAcentral.
GACGGAGGGUGCAAGCGUUGUUCGGAAUUACUGGGCGUAAAGCGUACGUAGGCGGCGGGUUAAGUCGAAUGUUAAAGCCUGGGGCUCAACCCCAGAGAUGCACUCGAUACUGGCUUGCUAGAGGGUGAUAGAGGAAAGUGGAAUUCCCAGUGUAGCGGUGAAAUGCGUAGAUAUUGGGAGGAACAUCAGUAGCGAAGGCGACUUUCUGGGUCACACCUGACGCUGAGGUACGAAAGCGUGGGGAGCAAACGGG